Long non-coding RNA from Triplophysa dalaica, 729 nucleotides. RefSeq lists it as uncharacterized. The record is from RefSeq and is a predicted model, not a curated record. The transcript is spliced from 3 exons. Lineage: Eukaryota; Metazoa; Chordata; Actinopteri; Cypriniformes; Nemacheilidae.
CUUCCAUUCCUCACGUUUACAUGAACACAAAAAAGCGAGAUUGUGGGAAUGUCCGACGUAAAAGCAGUUUUUGACUCCUCCCCUUACUGCGCCGCCGACUCGCGUCUUCAUUUCAGGCGAACCUACUUUUUUCUAGGGUCUCGCGAGGUGUUGCGGAAAGCUUCCCAGUGUAUGCUAUAUACUACUUUUUAAGGUUGUAUCUUUAUUUAUUCUAUGUUUGGCUAAUUUGUGUUUUUCUUUUGUUUUGAUACAAUUAAAAUAAAGUGCUAUAACAAUAAAUCAGACUUGACCAUAUAGCAUAGGGUACGUGGCUCUAAAUCCUACGGAUGACUAUAAUUUACGCCUAAGGAUGAUCUGCAGACCACCAUUCAAGCAGAGACAGUUGAUGACUAUGGACUGUAUGAUCAUGCAAUGUUGAGGUUUUAGUCAGGCAACAAGAUGGGUUAGGAUUUCUACGUGAGGCAAGAUGGGACUCGUUCCUUUUUCUACUCUAGAGAGCACCUGGGCAUUUUGUACCAGCAGGGAUGAUUUGAGGCUGCUGUGAAUGAGUAUGUGUUGAGGGAAACGGUGAAUAAAAAUGAGGCACUGUGUGUUCCUCGAGUGUUCCUGCAAAGUACAUUUUGCAAACCUGCUCCUUCACAAUCUAUAAGAUAAUAAUCAAAAGUCUGUACAUGAUAUUAUAUAUCACCUUUUCAAAUUAUUGUUUCAUAAUAAAAGUGACAUUUCAAU